Molecule: ribosomal RNA, 609 nt
Filed under: uncultured Burkholderiales bacterium
Lineage: Bacteria; Pseudomonadati; Pseudomonadota; Betaproteobacteria; Burkholderiales
Description: bacterial SSU rRNA
Rfam family: Bacterial small subunit ribosomal RNA
Source: RNAcentral
GCUGGCGGCAUGCCUUACACAUGCAGUCGAACGGCAGCGCGGGAGCAAUCCUGGCGGCGAGUGGCGAACGGGUGAGUAAUAUAUCGGAACGUGCCCAGUAGUGGGGGAUAGCCCGGCGAAAGCCGGAUUAAUACCGCAUACGACCUGAGGGUGAAAGCGGGGGAUCGCAAGACCUCGCGCUACUGGAGCGGCCGAUAUCAGAUUAGCUAGUUGGUGGGGUAAAGGCCUACCAAGGCAACGAUCUGUAGUUGGUCUGAGAGGACGACCAGCCACACUGGGACUGAGACACGGCCCAGACUCCUACGGGAGGCAGCAGUGGGGAAUUUUGGACAAUGGGCGCAAGCCUGAUCCAGCAAUGCCGCGUGCAGGAAGAAGGCCUUCGGGUUGUAAACUGCUUUUGUCAGGGAAGAAAUCUUCUGGGCUAAUACCCCGGGAGGAUGACGGUACCUGAAGAAUAAGCACCGGCUAACUACGUGCCAGCAGCCGCGGUAAUACGUAGGGUGCGAGCGUUAAUCGGAAUUACUGGGCGUAAAGCGUGCGCAGGCGGCUUUGCAAGACAGAGGUGAAAUCCCCGGGCUCAACCUGGGAACUGCCUUUGGGACUGCAAGG